Molecule: unclassified non-coding RNA, 303 nt
Filed under: uncultured fungus
Lineage: Eukaryota; Fungi
Description: sequence contains ITS2
Rfam family: 5.8S ribosomal RNA (bases 1-52)
Source: RNAcentral
AACGCACCUUGCACCCUUUGGUAUUCCGAAGGGUAUGCCUGUUUGAGUGUCAUUAAUAUCAUCAAUUGUUUAUCUUUUUGUUUAAAAGAUCAUUCAAUUGGACUUGGAGGUAUUCUGCUGGCUGCAAAGUUAGCUCCUCUUAAAUGUAUUAGCUGUACUACGGUCAUCAGCUUCAGUUUGAUAAAUAUCUAGCUGUUGUUGUCGACUAAUAUUAGUACUGCUCACAGUUGUCUUCGGACUAUGCUUUAUUGCAUAUACCUGAAUCUUGACCUCAAAUCAGGUAGGGCUACCCGCUGAACUUAA